CCUCGGGGAUGUAGCGGCCGUGCAGAGGCUGCGCUGCCAGGGCGGGAUGGCCUGUGCGGGGCUGGCGGGCUGGCCCUGGCCGCUGCGGGACCCCGUUUGCUGCGCGCUGCUGGCGGCCGCCGGGCUCUUGCUGGGGCUCUACUGGCUGCUGAGCCGCCCGCCCCGGGGGCUCCCGCCCGGCCCCAGCCCCUGGCCGCUCGUGGGCAAUUUCGGCUUCGCGCUGCUGCCCGGCCCGCUGCGGAAGAGGUGGCUACUGAGUGAGCGGGCCGAGCAGGGGGGCUCCCGGCCGCUCGCCCCGCACCUGCUCCUGACCGGCAUGGCCAAGGUCUACGGCAGCGUCUUCAGCCUCUUCGUGGGCAGCCGCCCCAUGAUCGUGCUCAGCGACUUCGAGGCGGUGCGGGAGGCGCUGGUCAGCCAGGCCGAGGUGUUCAGCGACCGGCCCAGCAUCCCCAUCGUGGCCAUGCUCACCAAGAAGAAGGGUGUCGUUUUUGCACCAUAUGGUCCCAUAUGGAGACAACAGAGGAAGUUUUCUCACUCAACUCUUCGUCAUUUUGGAUUAGGAAAGCAUAGCCUGGAACCCAAAAUCAUUGAAGAACUGAAGUAUGUGAAGGAAGAAAUGCUAAGAUAUGGAAAGGAUCCAUUUAACCCCUUUCCUAUUAUCAGCAACUCUGUGUCCAAUGUUAUCUGUUCCAUGGCCUUUGGCAGGCGCUUUGACUAUGAAGACAUUGAGUUUAAGACCAUGCUAAGUCUCAUGUCACGUGCGCUAGAGAUAAGUGUAAACAGCCAUGUAUUUCUGGUCAACAUUUGUCCUUGGCUGUACUAUCUUCCCUUUGGCCCUUUCAGAGAACUGAGACAAAUUGAGUUUGAUGUCACAGCUUUUCUAAAGAAAAUAAUUGCACAGCACAGGGACACCCUGGAUAGAGAAAAUCCCAGGGAUUUCAUUGAUAUGUAUCUCCUCCAAGUGGAAGAAGAGAGAAAGAGCAACAGUGAGAGCAGCUUUAAUGAAGACUACCUGUUUUUUAUCAUUGGUGACCUCUUCAUCGCAGGUACUGACACCACUACCAACACACUGCUCUGGUGUCUGCUCUAUAUGUCUCUCCACCCAGAAGUACAAGAAAAGGUUCAUGCAGAAAUUGAAGUGGUCACCGGGCAUGACAGAGCUCCUUCUCUCACUGACAAGGCUCAUAUGCCCUUCACAGAGGCAACCAUCAUGGAGGUACAGAGGAUGACUGUGGUUGUUCCUCUUUCUGUUCCUCGAAUGGCCUCAGCAACUGCUGUGCUACGGGGAUAUACUAUUCCUAAAGGCAGUGUGAUUGUGCCCAACUUAUGGUCAGUGCACAGAGAUCCAAAUAUAUGGGAGAGACCAGAUGACUUCCAACCAACAAGAUUUCUGGAUGAAAAUGGCCAGCUAAUCAAAAGAGAAAUGUUCAUUCCUUUCGGAAUUGGUAAACGUGUGUGCAUGGGAGAGCAGCUGGCAAAAAUGGAGCUGUUCUUGAUGUUUGUAAAUCUCAUGCAAAAUUUUACCUUUUUGUAUCCUGAUAAUGCUACAAAACCAGCCAUGGAAGGAAGAUUUGGUCUAACUUUAGCUCCAUAUCCAUUCAAUAUAAUUGCUUUGAAGAGAUGAAGAAACUUGAAAAAAGACUAAAUGAAGAGAUACUGCACUUAGCAAAUUCAGCUUUAUAUUUUUAUCGUUCUAAGCAGCAGCAUUUUGGAAAGUCAGGAGAGAGAUUAUCAAGAUAUGCAUCAGAUAAAGGUAAGAGCAGUUCUGUUUCUCCUAAUGAACCUAAUAGGAGAGCUCUCCCCUCCUUACGUCUUUCAUACAAAAUACUGUGGGGUCCACCUGGCUGAAGAGAAGCGGAUCUUCUUUUUCUCUUGUGCUCCUGGGAGUCCUGACUAGGGAGCUUUGCUUAUUUUGCUUAAUAUUAUUCUGCAUAUGUGAAUAGGAUUUGAGUGUUUGGUAAAAUCUCCCUCCGGCAGAGCUUGGGUGAGCUCAGUGCAGGCGUUCAGUUCAUAUCGAUGAAUACUGAGCAAUAGAAUUUCUGUUUGGUUGAAGCUUGUUUUCAGCUAUAGUCCUGAAUAAUCUCCAAUCAGAUAAAGUUUACUAAGGAACAAAGCACCUCAUCUGUAUCUCAAAACCGGCUUUUGUUGUAGUGAUCUUUUAGCACAAAAUGCCAAAGUUGAGUGCACUUAAUUUCUUCUGAGGAACCUACUUAAUUUAGUGAAUUGCUCAAAUAAACUUUGUCACCAGUAUGUUGCUAACUGGUGGGAUUUUAUAGAGUCUCUCUCUCAAUACUAGGUGUUUUUCUUAAAGUCCGGCACUUACAUUCUUGUGAUUCAGAUUGUAAUUAAAAAAUAUAUAUAUACAUAUAGUUGGGAAGAAAAGCCUGAAAGUAUGAUCCAAGUGUAACUCAACAGAUUCAAAACACUACAUAGAUUCUAAGGCCAGAAGGGACCAUUGGAUCUAGUCUGACCUCCUUUAUAUCAUAAGCCGUAGAACUUACCCAAAAUAAUAAGCUGUCCAAGCAAGCAUUUGAAAGCAAAUAAAAACACAGUAUACUUGUGACACCCUGACAUCCCAAUAUCCACCACUGUCAUGUAAUUAGGAUGUGUUUUGUACCAAGUAUGUCUUGUGAGAUGUCAUUCUAAAAGUCUUGAUCUGCUAGACAUUAAUAUCUCAUUGGAUUGUAUGUGCUAUCAUUGUAUGUGAAGUUAUGAAGUUUGGCUAUGUGUGUGUUACUGUAACAUGCUGUGAGUUUGAAAGCACCACAAGCAGCCUCUCAGGUACAACAGUAAAAAGGCCAAACAAUAUUAAUGACUUAUUGAGGAAAUGCACCCAAGCAUUACCCCAGGAAUUGUGUACAGUUGAAGACUCUCAGAGAUAGCACUACACAAUGUGAACUGUUUGACCCAGGUCACAGAAAAUCGGAAGAAGAUAUAAAAGGGGUGACAAUGACAUCAUAGGGGGACCUCAGUCUCCCUGCAACAACAUACCUGGAAACAGCUAAGGGGCAAGGACUGAACUGUGGGAAGUGGUGGUCCCAGGCUAGAAGGAUCUUUAGCCUGUGUGUGAAAAUGUGAGAAAGCCAAGGCAACUUGUGCCUUAAGAGUCUGCCAGCCUGCUUAUCACUCAGCAUGAGAAUUUGCUAAUUUAUAUUCUACCUAUCUAGUGUGUUAAGCUCAGUUUGUGGCCUUUGUUUGUUUAUUUACUGAGGUAUUCUACUUUGAUCUAUUUGCUAACCCUUAUGAUUACUUAAUAAACUUGUUUUGUUUUCGCUAA
Trachemys scripta elegans is the source of this 3277-nucleotide RNA transcript. It is a transcript of the gene named cytochrome P450 2U1, with no coding region annotated. NCBI's taxonomy places the organism in Eukaryota, Metazoa, Chordata, Testudines, Emydidae. The record is from RefSeq and is a predicted model, not a curated record. The transcript has 6 exons.